Molecule: non-coding RNA, 121 nt
Organism: Brachypodium distachyon (stiff brome)
Lineage: Eukaryota; Viridiplantae; Streptophyta; Magnoliopsida; Poales; Poaceae
Source: Rfam
UUAAUACUCCCUCCGUCCAAAAAAGGAUGUCUCAACUUUGACCAAAUUUGAAUGCAUUUUCUAGAUACAUUCAAAUUUUGACAAACUUGUGACAUUUUUUGUUGGACGGAGUAAAUACUAA